This 88-nucleotide transfer RNA is filed under the name Crassvirales sp. RNAcentral's name for it is "tRNA-Leu". It matches the Rfam family "tRNA". Rfam says of the family: Transfer RNA (tRNA) molecules are approximately 80 nucleotides in length. Their secondary structure includes four short double-helical elements and three loops (D, anti-codon, and T loops). The record is from RNAcentral. Lineage: Duplodnaviria; Heunggongvirae; Uroviricota; Caudoviricetes; Crassvirales.
GCUCUCAUGGUGGAAUGGUAGACACAACAGACUUAAAAUCUGUCAAUCAGCAAUGGUUGUCUGGGUUCAACUCCCAGUGGGAGUACCA